Non-coding RNA from Camelina sativa (false flax), 278 nucleotides. The record is from RefSeq and is a predicted model, not a curated record. Lineage: Eukaryota; Viridiplantae; Streptophyta; Magnoliopsida; Brassicales; Brassicaceae.
CAAUUCACUGCUACAUCAAGAGCUUUCAAGCAAUCAUGGUUCUCUAUAAAAGUCAUUUUCUUCUCUAGUAUUGUGUGGCAACUCAAGCAAAAAAAAUGAAGCUUUGGGGCUGGAUGCAUCAUAAGUUCCGGGAGAAUAGCAAAGAACCAUUGAAAGAUGCUACAACUGGUAACAGCUAUUCCAUCCUUUCCUCCCAUCCAUCCCUUGAUAGCCAAGAUGUUUACCCCGCAGCAUGUGCUGGCUCCAGAUACAAUACUGGAUUCAGAAAACAAGUUAAU